CUACCGAUUGAAUGGUUUAGCAAGGUCCUCGGAUUGGUGCCAUUGUAGUGGUUUCGGCCGCUCGAACGGUGCUGAGAAGACGACCAAACUUGAUCAUUUAGAGGAAGUAAAAGUCGUAACAAGGUUUCCGUAGGUGAACCUGCGGAAGGAUCAUUA
This 156-nucleotide ribosomal RNA is filed under the name Euparyphium capitaneum. RNAcentral describes it as "partial 18S ribosomal RNA". It matches the Rfam family "Eukaryotic small subunit ribosomal RNA", at positions 1682 to 1831 of the family's 1831-position model. The record is from RNAcentral. Lineage: Eukaryota; Metazoa; Platyhelminthes; Trematoda; Plagiorchiida; Echinostomatidae.